RNAcentral lists this ribosomal RNA (663 nucleotides) under Passiflora citrina. Its description in RNAcentral is "eukaryotic LSU rRNA". The stretch from base 273 to 428 matches the Rfam family "5.8S ribosomal RNA". The record is from RNAcentral. Lineage: Eukaryota; Viridiplantae; Streptophyta; Magnoliopsida; Malpighiales; Passifloraceae.
UUGUCGAAACCUGCAAAGCAGAAAUUACCUGUGAACAAGUUGUAAGAUUUUAGGGGAUGUGUUUGGCCUUGUCAUAUCUCUUCCCCAUGGGGGGAUAGUGCGGAUGGGAGCGGUGGAUCUGAUCCAACCUCUUUUGCGCGUUGUCCUCCUAACAACAAACCCCGGCGUAUCAUACGCCAAGGAAUCAAAGAUUAAAAGAAGGUAACAAGUGCCCUAGCGACCCGGGUACGGAAUUCGCGAAGGUUGCUUGUUUCCUUGUUUAAGAACUAAAUGACUCUCGGCAACGGAUAUCUUGGCUCUCGCAUCGAUGAAGAACGUAGCGAAAUGCGAUACUUGGUGUGAAUUGCAGAAUCCCGUGAACCAUCGAGUUUUUGAACGCAAGUUGCGCCCGAAGCCUUCGGGCCGAGGGCACGUCUGCCUGGGUGUCAUGUAUUGUUGCCCCAUCCACAACUCCCAUCGUGGGAGUAUCCGAUAAGGGGCGGAAAAUGGUCUCCCGUGUGCUCCCGCUUGCGGUUGGCCAAAAUUUGAGUCGUUGGUGAUAGUGCCACGAUAAUCGGUGGUUGAAAUACCUUCGGAAAUUGUCGUGGCAAAACCAAUAAAAGGCUUUUCAGACCCAAUGCACUCCCAACAGCGACCCCAGGUCAGGCGGGAUUACCCGCUGAG